RNAcentral lists this ribosomal RNA (484 nucleotides) under uncultured bacterium. RNAcentral describes it as "partial 16S ribosomal RNA". It matches the Rfam family "Bacterial small subunit ribosomal RNA", at positions 28 to 507 of the family's 1533-position model. The record is from RNAcentral.
AUUGAACGCUGGCGGCAUGCUUUACACAUGCAAGUCGAACGGCAGCGCGGGCUUCGGCCUGGCGGCGAGUGGCGAACGGGUGAGUAAUGCAUCGGAACGUGCCCAGUAGUGGGGGAUAGCCCGGCGAAAGCCGGAUUAAUACCGCAUACGACCUGCGGGUGAAAGCGGGGGACCGAAAGGCCUCGCGCUAUUGGAGCGGCCGAUGUCGGAUUAGCUAGUUGGUGGGGUAAAGGCUUACCAAGGCGACGAUCCGUAGCUGGUCUGAGAGGACGACCAGCCACACGGGGACUGGGACACGGCCAAGACUCCUACGGGAGGCAGCAGUGGGGAAUUUUGGACAAUGGGGGCAACCCUGAUCCAGCCAUGCCGCGUGCGGGAAGAAGGCCUUCGGGUUGUAAACCGCUUUUGUUCGGGAAGAAAUCCUCUGGGCUAAUACCCCGGGGGGAUGACGGUACCGGAAGAAUAAGCACCGGCUAACUACGUG